CCUACGGGAGGCUGCAGUGGGGAAUAUUGGGCAAUGGGCGCAAGCCUGACCCAGCAACGCCGCGUGAAGGAAGAAGGCUUUCGGGUUGUAAACUUCUUUUGUCAGGGAAGAGUAGAAGACGGUACCUGACGAAUAAGCUACGGCUAACUACGUGCCAGCAGCCGCGGUAAUACGUAGGUGGCAGGCGUUGUCCGGAUUUACUGGGUGUAAAGGGCGUGUAGCCGGGUUGACAAGUCAGAUGUGAAAUCCUCCGGCUUAACCGGAGAACUGCAUUUGAAACUGUUGAUCUUGAGUACUGGAGAGGCAGGCGGAAUUCCUAGUGUAGCGGUGAAAUGCGUAGAUAUUAGGAGGAACACCAGUGGCGAAGGCGGUCUGCUGGACAGCAACUGACGGUGAGGCGCGAAAGCGUGGGGAGCAAACAGGAUUAGAUACCCGUGUAGUC
This 442-nucleotide ribosomal RNA is filed under the name uncultured bacterium. Its description in RNAcentral is "partial 16S ribosomal RNA". It matches the Rfam family "Bacterial small subunit ribosomal RNA", at positions 338 to 795 of the family's 1533-position model. The record is from RNAcentral.